CUUGGGGACCUCCCAGAGGGAGGGAGGGAGGCUUGGAGGAAGGAAGAGCUGAACAUACACGUGUCUCUUAAAGUGAGGGGGGCGGAUGGACAUCACUGCAUGCUGAGGUCUCUUGCUCUCCUUCACAGCUGUCAGAGCCAAUCACAUAAAGUUUGGGGAGUGUGCAGUCAGGGAGCUCUGCGACAAGACCUUCACAGUCACCAACCGCAGCAAGGAGGAGGUGAUGCGGUUUGAGUGGCUGCUGGCAGAUGCCCCGUUCCAGUUCUCCCCCAAGGUGGGACACCUCCAGCCUGGCCGUGCCAAGAAUAUCAGAGUGACCUUGAAAUCCAAGGUCCCGCUCACCAUCAAAAGGCACUCUGGGAACUGUAAGGUGGCCAAGAUCAAAUACCAGCUGCCACCAGAGGAGGUUUAGGACUGGGACGACAGAAUGCGCAGUGAGAAGUGGGAGGAUACCACCGAGAGACUCCCGGGAGCCCGCUGGCCUUUGAAGCAGAAGGUGGUCAAGGCAGUCCCGGAACCACCUCACACCGUCCUGGAGAGGAGCAGCCACGAGGUCGAGCUUGUCCUCAGUGCUCAGGUUGACUACGCCGAGUUCAGACAUGACACGGUCGAGGUUCAGCUGAAGCAGACUGAGCUCUUCCAGACAGAGAUAAGCACGUGAGUGCUGGGCACCGUGUUGGCCCUUUCCUCCUAAACUUCCAGACUUUGAAAUACUUUGUUUGGGCCACCCAGGGCAGCAAUUCUGAACGUGGCAGAGUUGCCUGGGGAAGGUGGUACCAGGAGCCCACCAGACAGUGUUACUUCAGCACUUGCUUUUUAUUCCUUCUCCUUGUUUUUCAGUUUCCAGAUGUCCAAUACGGGGAAUGUAGCCCUGAAAUACUGCUGGGAGGAGAAUCUGGAGGAGGAAAUACCAUCAAAGAGUUCUGGGAGGCUGUUCUAGUCCACUCAGACAU
Molecule: long non-coding RNA, 953 nt
Filed under: Manacus vitellinus (golden-collared manakin)
Lineage: Eukaryota; Metazoa; Chordata; Aves; Passeriformes; Pipridae
Description: lncRNA (ENSMVIG00005007290.1)
Source: RNAcentral